This is a long non-coding RNA of Limulus polyphemus (Atlantic horseshoe crab), 1050 nucleotides long. RefSeq lists it as uncharacterized. The record is from RefSeq and is a predicted model, not a curated record. NCBI's taxonomy places the organism in Eukaryota, Metazoa, Arthropoda, Merostomata, Xiphosura, Limulidae. The transcript has 3 exons.
UCAUGACCUUGUGGUAAGUGCCCUCGAAUCACUAUCUGAGGGUCGCAGGUUCGAACAUGUGUCCUAGGGGUGUUAUGAAUUUAACGGUCAAUCCAACUAUUCCUUGGUAAAAGAGUAGCCCAACAGUUUUAGCACUGAAGUCAACACCCAAAUUAGAUAGUGAUCAGGGUUGGAGUACGUGAACGUUGCUUCCGCUUUAAAUCACUAAUGGUCGGUACGAUAAUAACUCAGCUUCACUUAUAUAUAUGUGAGGAUCUACAAUUUCAGUUUCAUUCUUCAAAAAACGUCUUGCGUGUUCUGAACAGAAUUAUUAUUGAUUAAGGCAAGUUUUUACUUGGCUACAACUAUUCUUCAAUAAAUGGUCAAAGGUAUAAACCUCAGCUUCCUUUGCCUUCUGGGAUGUGUACUUCUGGCUUCCAUCUCCCCCUGUCUCGGUCGAAUUGUCCGCCGAAGUAACAUCCAGUGUCAGUCUUGGAAGAGCAGUGAGAUACGAUGUGGUAAGGAUGACUGGCCAUCGAAUCGAAUUAAGAUCAUAAACAAGUCCUCUGCUAGUGUCACAUUUGUUGUUGACCAGUGGAUAAGCUCGUGCGGUUGGCCAGGAUCGAAGUAUUCUUCUAGGCAGUACACAUUGAACUCUUAUCAAAAUAUCGAACUACAAUUUGCACAUGCACUGCCUGGUAAAUGUCGAGAAAUGUUUAUUAUUGACUGUCGUCAACAUGGAAGUUAUAUUAACUGUCUUCAUGUUUUGAAAGCUUAUCCUGUUGGCUAACUUUACUGUAAAGUAACAAUUGUCAGAAGUUAUUUGCUCCGCACUACAGUAAAGCAUUAUCAAAUAUUGUUCUCCAAUUUUGUAUUAAUUGUUAAUAUUGUUAUAUUGCUUUAUAACUAUAUAUUAUUGCUUCAUUCUAUUAAGUGCUUGUAUAAUGAUGUCAGUUUAUUGGAUAAUUUUAUAAUUAUGUUCUUGUGUUGGAUUAUUCAGUCAACUUUGAUUUUGAUUUCAUUUAAUAAGAGUGUAAAACACUAGAAAUAAACGACUUUAUAACACCAAAA